Molecule: ribosomal RNA, 546 nt
Filed under: Adenomera marmorata
Lineage: Eukaryota; Metazoa; Chordata; Amphibia; Anura; Leptodactylidae
Description: partial large subunit ribosomal RNA
Rfam family: Bacterial large subunit ribosomal RNA
Source: RNAcentral
GACAUUGUUCAACGGCCGCGGUAUCCUAACCGUGCGAAGGUAGCGUAAUCACUUGUUCUUUAAAUAAGGACUAGUAUGAAAGGCACCACGAGAGUCAUGCUGUCUCCUUUCUCUAAUCAGUGAAACUAAUCUCCCCAUGAAGAAGCGGGGAUAAAAAUAUAAGACGAGAAGACCCUAUGGAGCUUUAAACAAGUAACACCUGCCCAUCAAAUUUCCAAUUUCAGAAAAAUUUUCUACCCCGGCAUCAUGAUUAUUAGUUUUCGGUUGGGGUGACCGCGGAAUAAAAACUAACCUCCGCAAUGAAAGACACUCAUCUACUUAAUUAAGGGCCACAACCCCACACAUCAACAAAUUGACACUAAUUGACCCAACAUGUUGAUCAAUGAACCAAGUUACCCUAGGGAUAACAGCGCAAUCCGCUUCAAGAGCUCCUAUCGACAAGUGGGUUUACGACCUCGAUGUUGGAUCAGGGUGUCCUAGUGGUGCAGCCGCUACUAAAGGUUCGUUUGUUCAACGAUUAAAACCCUACGUGAUCUGAGUUCAGAC